This 2661-nucleotide long non-coding RNA is filed under the name Salmo salar (Atlantic salmon). RNAcentral describes it as "lncRNA (ENSSSAG00000099480.1)". The record is from RNAcentral. Lineage: Eukaryota; Metazoa; Chordata; Actinopteri; Salmoniformes; Salmonidae.
GAUACCCACUGGUACUGCUGAGUGAAUGCACUGUCAUAUAUAUAUAUAUAUAUAUAUUAUAUAUAUAUAUAUAUAUAUAUAUAUAUAUAUAUAUAUAUAUAUAUAUAUAUAUAUAUAUAUAUAUAUAUUUAACAAUAAAGCUACUUCCUAUCCCACAGACACUCCUCACAAUAACCGUAUCCCAUUCAGAGACACCACAGCUCUCUGUGAGGGAUAAAUAAGAUUUAGCUGGCAGAGCUAGAUAAUGAUCCACUCAGCAUGAGAGCUCAGUGCUCCUCAUCUCCAUCUCAUCUCCUGCCUCUCUCACUGUGCUGCUGUGACGUCAGUAUUGUACUUCACUAAUGAAGAGGACUUCAGUAAAGAUCUAUACUAGAACAUUCUCACAACAGGCAUAUUCUUGCUCUAGGGGGGGUUUUCAUAUCAAAGCACAGAUAAACGGAUAAAUCCAAGUGUGUGUGUGACUAACUGUGUGUGUGAGAUUCAAAGAGCUGAGCAGGCAGCCUAUGUCUUUGGUGUACUAUUGCUUUCAUUUAAGCCCGGGAGAGAGAAGCUAGCCUGCCCGGGAGAGAGAAGCUAGCCUGCCCGGGAGAGAGAAGCUAGCCUGCCCGGGAGAGAGAAGAUAGCCUGCCCCCCUGAGGCAUGUGACAACACAAUGGUUUAAUGAUCUGUGUCUGUUCUGCUGCUGCUAGUUUGUGAGACUGCUGCAGCACAGAGUGCUGAAUACAGGCAGUCAAGCUGGCCUGGCCAGUAGAAAUACACUGUAAGUCAGUGUUUCUCAGAGUGCUGAAUACAGGCAGGCAGCAGAUUCUCUGGCCUGGCCAGGAGAAAUACACUGUAAGUCAGUGUUUCUCAGAGUGCUGAAUACAGGCAGUUCAGCAAGCAGCAGAUUCUCUGGCCUGGCCAGGAGAAAUACACUGUAAGUCAGUGUUUCUCAGAGUGCUGAAUACAGGCAGGCAGCAAGCAGCAGAUUCUCUGGCCUGGCCAGUAGAAAUACACUGUAAGUCAGUGUUUCUCAGAGUGCUGAAUACAGGCAGGCAGCAGAUUCUCUGGCCUGGCCAGGAGAGAUACAUUAUGUCAGUGUUUCUCAGAGUGCUGAAUACAGGCAGGCAGCAGAUUCUCUGGCCUGGCCAGGAGAGAUACAUUAUGUCAGUGUUUCUCAGCCUGUUCCUCUGGGAGUGGGAGAUCCCUAGUUGUUCCACCACUAGUCAACUAGCCCAAUGCUCAAGCCCUUGACUAGUUGUGUGACGUGAGCUAGCUAGGUCAAAAAUGUGGAGCGGCAGGAUGUUUCCAAGGAACACAGAUGAAAUGGAGAAACCCACUGCUACAUAGACCUAACAGGAAUGUGGUGGUCGCCCCAGCAGUGCUGUCCCAUCCAGUCACGUAGACCUGAGUUGAGGAGAAACACCCUGAAAGUGAUCUGUAAGGCAAGCCUUCCUGGCCUGCUGGGGCCUCAGUCAGUGGAAUGGCAGAAGUGUGCUUUACUGCCUUCCUUGGAGAUGACCUGAGGUCAGGUCUAACUGUAGCGGAUGAACAGAGGGUCAGGUCUAACUGUAGCGGAUGAACAGAGGUCAGGUCCAACUGUAGCGGAUGAACAGAGGUCAGGUCCAACUGUAGCGGAUGAACAGAGGUCAGGUCCAACUGUAGCGGAUGAACAGAGAGUCAGGUCCAACUGUAGCGGAUGAACAGAGAGUCAGGUCCAACUGUAGCGGAUGAACAGAGGUCAGGUCUAACUGUAGCGGAUGAACAGAGGUCAGGUCUAACUGGAGCGGAUGAACAGAGGUCAGGUCCAACUGUAGCGGAUGAACAGAGGUCAGGUCCAACUGUAGCGGAUGAACAGAGGGUCAGGUCCAACUGUAGCGGAUGAACAGAGGUCAGGUCUAACUGUAGCGGAUGAACAGAGGUCAGGUCUAACUGUAGCGGAUGAACAGAGGUCAGGUCCAACUGGAGCGGAUGAACAGAGGUCAGGUCCAACUGUAGCGGAUGAACAGAGGGUCAGGUCUAACUGGAGCGGAUGAACAGACAUGGUUGGAUUUCCUGUUCAGACUACUGGUUGUUUCCUUGUCUUCUGCACCUGUUUUGGUCAAUAGUGAACAUACUCUCCCCCCCCCCACACACUCACACACACACACACUCCCCCACACACACACACUCCCCCACCACACACACAGCGUUAAUCCCUGGCUUCUGAUCUGCGUGUAGUCUUUCAUGUAAAGCCAGCCCUGUGAUGCCUGGUAACCCGAUACAGCCGCUAUUGAUGGUGAUGCUGUUGAUAUUCAGGAGAGGAGAGCAGCCUGCCAUGUUGCUCUCCCUGGUUGGUCCUGGGAUGCUGCUGUGUGGUCUGGGCUGAUAGGUGGAAGGCCCAUUAUCAAAAAUAUUGUUUGGCUUUGGAUGAUUUAAACAGUCUGGGCCUGGGCUAUAGGGCCUGGGCUAUAGGGCCUGGGCUAUAGGGCCUGGGCUAUAGGGCCUGGGCUGUAGGGCCUGGGCUAUAGGGCCUGGGCUGUAGGGCCUGGGCUAUAGGGCCUGGGCUAUAGGGCCUGGGCUAUAGGGCCUGGGCUGUAGGGCCUGGGCUGUAGGGCCUGGGCUGUAGGGCCUGGGCUGUAGGGCCUGGGCUGUAGGGCCUGGGCUAUAGGGCCUGGGCUGUAGGGCCUGGGCUGGGGACUA